AAGGCCUUUCUUUGGUAAUUCAUCAUAAGUAUAAACUAAAUCUCUGUAUAAAUGAGAACAGUAUCGAUAUUUAGUUUAGUUAUUUAGAAACAUGCACCUAUACAUGCAGAACCGGUCCUAGACAUUUUUGGGCCACAAGCCCAAAAUAAAUAAAAAUGGCUGGAAAAAAAAUUAACACAAGGGGCCUCGAACCCAGCCUUACCUUAGAGAAGAAGAGCACAUUUGACCACUACACCACAGAAAGUUUUCAGGAAAAAGUGGACGCUAAAAUAUUUAUUAUGUUGGUGGCCGGAAGCACAUGCUUCACCUGCUUGGGCCGAGAGCCGGCUCUGUAUACGUACCAUUUCAUUAACUAGCGCAGUACCUGAAAAAAGGUGCGUCAUCUUGUGAAAGACUAAUUCUUGGGUAUAGGUUCACCUAUAGGUCACCGGCCAUUAAUAAGUAUUAAUAAGUUGCCAAUUCAUAUUCAGUAUUUGAAAAAAAUAGAAAGGUAAAAAAUAAUUAGAAAUAAUAUUAUCAACUGAAAAACAAUAAGAAAACAAAAAAAAACAGAACACUACGGCUUGUAAACCUUGUUUUGUGACUAAGAAGAAGAAGAAGCUACAAAGUCGUUAACAUAAUUAACCAUAUAGUUGUUAGAUUUUCUAACAUAAUUGAGGUGGCAAACAUCAAAGUUGUUUAACGCCGUGGUAGAUCAUUCUUAGGGUUAAUCGGUUACAGAGAAGAUAGAUUACAUAGAAGAGACGAAGCUGUGUUAGUGAUUUUCGAGUCUCCUAAUCCUUGCUUUCAAACCCAAUUUUGAAUAAACCUCCGUCCAAUGUACUUGUAACCCUAACAAUCUAUUUCUUUUUUUUGGUCAACUAACCCUAACAAUUUAUAUAUAAG
This 885-nucleotide long non-coding RNA is filed under the name Brassica rapa (field mustard). RNAcentral describes it as "long non-coding RNA (BRAP_LNC007084)". The record is from RNAcentral. Lineage: Eukaryota; Viridiplantae; Streptophyta; Magnoliopsida; Brassicales; Brassicaceae.